GACGAACGCUGGCGGCGUGCCUAAUACAUGCAAGUAGAACGCAGUUGCGAACGGGUGAGUAACGCGUAGGUAACUGCCUCAUAGCGGGGGAUAACUAUUGGAAACGAUAGCUAAUACCGCAUACUGUGAGAUGGACCUGCGUUGUAUUAGCUAGUUGGUGAGGUAAAGGCUCACCAAGGCGACGAUACAUAGCCGACCUGAGAGGGUGAUCGGCAACACUGGGACUUGGACACGGCCCAGACUCCUACGGGAGGCAGCAGUGGGGAAUCCUCGGAAAUGGACGGGAGUCUGAGCCAGCAGCGUCGGAUGUGUGUAAGAGGUUGUCGGUUCGUAAAUGGCUGUUGUUAGGGAGUCGGUAAUUAACCAGAGAGCGACGGUUAACGUCGUGCCAGCAGCCGCGGUAAUAC
This 407-nucleotide ribosomal RNA is filed under the name uncultured bacterium. RNAcentral's name for it is "partial 16S ribosomal RNA". It matches the Rfam family "Bacterial small subunit ribosomal RNA", at positions 28 to 526 of the family's 1533-position model. The record is from RNAcentral.